UACGUAGGGUGCAAGCGUUGUCCGGAAUCAUUGGGCGUAAAGAGCUCGUAGGCGGCUCGGUAAGUCGGGUGUGAAACCCCCAGGCUCAACCUGGGGACGCCACCCGAUACUGCUGUGGCUAGAGUCCAGUAGGGGAGUGUGGAAUUCCCGGUGUAGUGGUGAAAUGCGUAGAUAUCGGGAGGAACACCAGUGGCGAAGGCGGCGAUCUGGGAAGAUACUGACGCUGAGGUGCGAAAGCGUGGGGAGCAAACAGG
This 254-nucleotide ribosomal RNA is filed under the name uncultured bacterium. RNAcentral describes it as "partial 16S ribosomal RNA". It matches the Rfam family "Bacterial small subunit ribosomal RNA", at positions 524 to 776 of the family's 1533-position model. The record is from RNAcentral.